This 451-nucleotide ribosomal RNA is filed under the name uncultured bacterium. RNAcentral's name for it is "bacterial SSU rRNA". It matches the Rfam family "Bacterial small subunit ribosomal RNA", at positions 354 to 796 of the family's 1533-position model. The record is from RNAcentral.
GUCGAGAAUCUUCCGCAAUGGGCGAAAGCCUGACGGAGCGACGCCGCGUGGAGGAUCGAAGGCCUUCGGGUUGUAAACUCCUUUCGAGCGGGGACGAAUAGCCUGGCGUGAAUAGCGUCGGGUGUGACUUAACCCGCAGAAGAAGCUCCGGCUAACCCUGUGCCAGCAGCCGCGGUAAUACAGGGGGAGCGAACGUUACUCGGAAUCACUGGGCAUAAAGGGCGCGUAGGCGGUCCUGUAAGUCGGAUGUGAAAGACCUUGGCUCAACCAAGGAAUGGCAUCCGAUACUGCGGGGCUUGAGGCCAAGAGGGGCAAGCGGAACUCCUGGUGGAGCGGUGAAAUGCGUAGAUAUCAGGAGGAACACCGGUGGCGAAGGCGGCUUGCUGGAUUGGUUCUGACGCUGAGGCGCGAAAGCCAGGGGAGCAAACGGGAUUAGAAACCCUUGUAGUCC